UCCAGCCAUGCCGCGUGAGUGAUGAAGGCCUUAGGGUUGUAAAGCUCUUUCAUCAGUGAAGAUAAUGACGGUAGCUGGUAAAGAAACCCCGGCUAACUCCGUGCCAGCAGCCGCGGUAAUACGGAGGGGGUUAGCGUUGUUCGGAAUUACUGGGCGUAAAGCGCACGUAGGCGGAUUAGUCAGUCAGGGGUGAAAUCCCGAGGCUCAACCCUGGAACUGCCUU
RNAcentral lists this ribosomal RNA (223 nucleotides) under uncultured Paracoccaceae bacterium. Its description in RNAcentral is "uncultured Rhodobacteraceae bacterium partial 16S ribosomal RNA". It matches the Rfam family "Bacterial small subunit ribosomal RNA", at positions 387 to 627 of the family's 1533-position model. The record is from RNAcentral. Lineage: Bacteria; Pseudomonadati; Pseudomonadota; Alphaproteobacteria; Rhodobacterales; Paracoccaceae.